This 1154-nucleotide ribosomal RNA is filed under the name Candidatus Profftia adelgis. RNAcentral's name for it is "bacterial SSU rRNA". It matches the Rfam family "Bacterial small subunit ribosomal RNA", at positions 202 to 1339 of the family's 1533-position model. Lineage: Bacteria; Pseudomonadati; Pseudomonadota; Gammaproteobacteria; Enterobacterales; Enterobacteriaceae. The record is from RNAcentral.
AAGUGGGGGACCUUCGGGCCUCACGCCAUCAGAUGUACCCAGAUGAGAUUAGCUAGUAGGUGGGGUAAUGGCUCACCUAGGCUAUGAUCUCUAGCUGGUCUGAGAGGAUGACCAGCCACACUGGAACUGAGACACGGUCUAGACUCCUACGGGAGGCAGCAGUGGGGAAUAUUGCACAAUGGGCGCAAGCCUGAUGCAGCCAUGCCGCGUGUAUGAAGAAAGCCUUCGGGUUGUAAAGUACUUUCAGCAAGAAAGAAAGUAUUUUAGUUAAUAACUAAAAUAAUUGACGUUACUUGCAAAAGAAGCACCGGCUAACUCCGUGCCAGCAGCCGCGGUAAUACGGAGGGUGCGAGCGUUAAUCGGAAUUACUGGGCUUAAAGCGUACGUAGGCGGUUAAUUAAGUUAGAUGUGAAAUCCCCGAGCUUAACUUGGGAAUUGCAUUUAAAACUGGUUAGCUAGAGUCUUGUAGAGGGGGGUAGAAUUCUAGGUGUAGCGGUGAAAUGCGUAGAUAUCUAGAGGAAUACCAGUGGCGAAGGCGGCCCCCUGGACAAAGACUGACGCUCAGGUACGAAAGCGUGGGGAGCAAACAGGAUUAGAUACCCUGGUAGUCCACGCCGUAAACGAUGUCGACUUGGAGGUUGUGCCCUUGAGGUGUGGCUUCCGGAGCUAACGCGUUAAGUCGACCGCCUGGGGAGUACGGCCGCAAGGCUAAAACUCAAAUGAAUUGACGGGGGCCCGCACAAGCGGUGGAGCAUGUGGUUUAAUUCGAUGCAACGCGAAAAACCUUACCUACUCUUGACAUUCAGAGAAUUUGCUAGAGAUAACUUAGUGCCUUCGGGAGCUUUGAAACAGGUGCUGCAUGGCUGUCGUCAGCUCGUGUUGUGAAAUGAUGAGUUAAGUCCCGCAACGAGCGCAACCCUUGUCCUUUGUUGCCAGCACGUAAAGGUGGGAACUCAAAGGAGACUGCCGGUGAUAAGCUGGAGGAAGGUGGGGAUGACGUCAAGUCAUCAUGGCCCUUACAAGUAGGGCUACACACGUGCUACAAUGGCAUAUACAAAGAGCAGCAAACUCGCGAGAGCAAGCGAACCUCAUAAAGUAUGUCGUAGUCCGGAUUGGAGUCUGCAACUCGACUCCAUGAAGUCGGAAUCGCUAGU